AGGGGCAGCAUGAACUUAGCUUGCUAAGUUUGAUGGCGACCGGCGCACGGGUGAGUAACACGUAUCCAACCUUCCGUACACUCAGGGAUAGCCUUUCGAAAGAAAGAUUAAUACCUGAUGGUAUCUUAAGCGCACAUGCAAAUAAGAUUAAAGAAUUUCGGUCAUCGAUGGGGAUGCGUUCCAUUAGGUUGUUGGCGGGGUAACGGCCCACCAAGCCUUCGAUGGAUAGGGGUUCUGAGAGGAAGGUCCCCACAUUGGAACUGAGACACGGUCCAAACUCC
This 281-nucleotide ribosomal RNA is filed under the name uncultured Bacteroides sp. RNAcentral's name for it is "partial 16S ribosomal RNA". It matches the Rfam family "Bacterial small subunit ribosomal RNA", at positions 65 to 339 of the family's 1533-position model. The record is from RNAcentral. Lineage: Bacteria; Pseudomonadati; Bacteroidota; Bacteroidia; Bacteroidales; Bacteroidaceae.